CGGGGGCGUUUCCUGUUGCUGUGGCGGCGGCUCCCGGGACCGAGAGGGAACCGGCGGCUCCCCGGGGAGUCCGAUUGUGCAGUGAAUGUCCACAAGAACUGCAAGAAUUUGCUGACUGAAUGCAGCAGCAGCAGACCCAAGCAGAAAGAUUUGCAGCACAGACCUUCUGGAUCUCCACAAAGUUCGCCCCAGUGCAUUUCCC
RNAcentral lists this long non-coding RNA (202 nucleotides) under Junco hyemalis (dark-eyed junco). RNAcentral's name for it is "lncRNA (ENSJHYG00000010236.1)". The record is from RNAcentral. Lineage: Eukaryota; Metazoa; Chordata; Aves; Passeriformes; Passerellidae.